Molecule: small RNA, 28 nt
Filed under: Bombyx mori (domestic silkworm)
Lineage: Eukaryota; Metazoa; Arthropoda; Insecta; Lepidoptera; Bombycidae
Description: ovarian small RNA-14309
Source: RNAcentral
CGCAAGGUGCGCCCCGUUCGUUCCCCAG